RNAcentral lists this ribosomal RNA (434 nucleotides) under uncultured Lachnospiraceae bacterium. RNAcentral's name for it is "bacterial SSU rRNA". It matches the Rfam family "Bacterial small subunit ribosomal RNA", at positions 341 to 792 of the family's 1533-position model. The record is from RNAcentral. Lineage: Bacteria; Bacillati; Bacillota; Clostridia; Lachnospirales; Lachnospiraceae.
ACGGGAGGCAGCAGUGGGGAAUAUUGCACAAUGGGGGAAACCCUGAUGCAGCGACGCCGCGUGAGCGAAGAGGUAUUUCGGUAUGUAAAGCUCUAUCAGCAGGGAAGAAAAUGACGGUACCUGACUAAGAAGCCCCGGCUAACUACGUGCCAGCAGCCGCGGUAAUACGUAGGGGGCAAGCGUUAUCCGGAUUUACUGGGUGUAAAGGGAGCGUAGACGGCAAGGCAAGUCUGAAGUGAAACUCCGGGGCUCAACCCCGGAACUGCUUUGGAAACUGUCUGGCUAGAGUACCGGAGGGGUAAGCGGAAUUCCUAGUGUAGCGGUGAAAUGCGUAGAUAUUAGGAAGAACACCAGUGGCGAAGGCGGUUAGCUGGACAGUAACUGACGCUGAGGCGCGAAAGCGUGGGUAGCAAACAGGAUUAGAUACCCUGGUA